RNAcentral lists this long non-coding RNA (2628 nucleotides) under Nicotiana benthamiana. RNAcentral describes it as "long non-coding RNA (NBEN_LNC034677)". The record is from RNAcentral. Lineage: Eukaryota; Viridiplantae; Streptophyta; Magnoliopsida; Solanales; Solanaceae.
UAUAUAUCCUUUGCAGCUGUUGAACACAAUCGGAGAGCGAAUCUUAGCGGAGGCACAACAUUGCACCCCAAAAGGCCCCAAUUAAUCCCAUAGCAGGCUAAACGCUUCUGUGCAAUUUUCCUCAAGUUGUAAAAUCACCUUUGCACUCGCCGCCAAUUUUAUUUUUGAUUCCUUGUUUCACUCAAUUCAAAACAUAGGCGAUAUUAGCAAUUCUACCAAAUUCACACAACUUAACACUUAAUUCGAAACAUGCUGAUAAAUUGAAGUUCUGGAGAUCUAAACGAGUAGUCCAAUUACCCAAUUCUCUAUGUGUCCAAACUCAAAUUAAUAGGAAAUUGAUAAUUUUGAUUCCAAUUCCAUGCCUAGAUUAUCUUAUUUAUUUAUUUAUCUACUCAUGAAUUCCUAAAUAUUGCCAAAUGUGAAAAUCCAAUUGGAAACAUGGAUCGAAUUUAAGCUUGAUUACGUGAUUUCACUUAACACUAUACACCAACAGGUUAAUGACCCAAAUUCAAAGCAAACCAACUAUUUGCAGAAUACUUAAAAUUAACAUCACCAAGCCAACACUCAACACUCAGGUAAUUCAUGAUUUUAGCCCUCAACUACUGAAAUUAACUACUAAAAAUAAGACCAUUGAAUAUGUUUUUCACAACUACUAAAGCAAACCAAACAUUCAACUCAUAACAUUAGUCUGAAUAGUAAUAGUAUAUAUAGUCCAGUCAGCACAACUACAAGCAAGGGUCUAAAAAGAAUAUUAAUGAUCUAAGUUCUUAAGUACACAUCAGAAACUGAAUCAAAUCAAAUCUCAUGCUUCAAUUAUAGAUUCAUCCUUUACAUUUCAGCUCACAAUUAUCAAAGUCAAGUUGUAAACAUGGAACUAGAGAUGAACGUCAGAGGAGAAGAGGGUCGACAGCAAAUAAUAGUGACUGGAAUCCAGCAAUCACAAACAACAACAACAACAACAACAACAGGAACAAUUUGAAAAUAAAACCAUUUCACAAAACCUAGGAACACAUCACAGAAAAAGAACACCCAAUAACUGAUCCAAAAUGACCCGAUUGAACCCCAAAAACCACUCAAAAUCAAACCAGAAACAACUAUAAAACUUCAGCUACCUGAAAUUGAACAAGGAAAAGCAAAUCAACCACUAAAACUUGAAAUUAACCUAAGAAGUUGAAUAGAAAUGUGUAUUUUUUGGUUUUUCUAUAGCUUUUGUAUAUUUGUUUUUUUUUGAGAUUUUAAGAUGGAAACGAGACUUUAAAAUUUUAGAUCUAGUGUUAAAUAUGAAAUUCAAAUUUGGCUUCUAGAAACUAUGGACUUUUUUGCGGGGAACUUUUGGAGAUUCUAAUUUCUUUUCUAAGGCCGAAUGUAUUGCCUAUUAUAGGCAAAGCUGAAAGGGAAAUUCAGAUAUUCCAUUUUAACACUACACCCCUUUCCCAAUUUCAUUUUUUCUAGUUAGCCCCUUAACUACUGACUUGCUAGCCAACCUAAGCUGCUUAGAAGCAUGAAAUCAUCCCAAACUCCCUACUAGAUGGUUCCCAUUUCAGUUACCAUAAAGAUUCCCUAAGUGUGUUGCCACAAUUAUCCUUCCAGCCACCUAGAAUUACAUAAUUCACCAAUUUAAGGGUCUGGGCCACACGACCCAAUUCAGCGGGUCAGAAAAAGACUCGAACGAAUUCACUAUUUCCUGUAGCCCAUUCCUCAAUUAAAAAUAAGGCCCAAAACCAAAACCAAGACAUUUGACCAUCAAGGAAUCAAUUCAGCCUUUAGUGGUGAGUAGUUAACAGAGACGACCCGACUAAACCAAGAAACAAAUGAAACUAAAUAACAAAUGUGGAAGAACAUGCGUAAAUCCAGUCAAGCAGCAAGAUAAUUAAGAAAAGGAAAAAUUAAACUAACUCCCUAAAUAAUCAAAGAGCAAUGAAAACUUGACUAUCCGAACCAAAGCAAAACCAAAAGAGAGCUCAAAACUCCAUAUCGCCACAUGCUUAAUCCAAACUGAUAAAAUUCAUAUGUUCUCAUAGAGAACAAACAAAUAAAAUAAUUUUUAGAUCGAGAAUAAAGUAGAAACUCAAGUUUUACUUUAGGGCCCGACUGUGAUUUGCGAUUCGACGACCAGGAAGAAGAUUCGUGGGUAACUGACUAUAGGUCAAGAAGAGAGUCUUGGGUUGACUAUGUGAUGUUAUUUUUGUUAUGUUUGGGGUGAGUGAAGUCUUUAACUGAACCUUCAUUUGAAGAUUCGAAAUGCUCUGGCCUGAUUUUGAGGCAAACAGAGUGUGGAUUUGGAAUGGGGGAAAAAGGGGUUCAGGGGUGAUUUGCGGUGGCGCAGUCAGAUUUCAGGUGGAGAGGAAAGAGGGCGGCGGAUAUUAGUGUUUAAUGGGAAAGGUCUCUGAAAGAGACGAAGAAAAGGGGGUCGGGUAAGGGUAAAUUGGGACAUUUAUGUAGUUAUCUUAAGCUAGUUUCGGACCGUUCGAUCUGCUGAGAUCAACGGUCCAAAUUGAAAAAUAUGAAACGGUGUCUUUUCUUAGUAAAAGGAUAGGCUGGGUUUGGGGUAUUUGAGCCGGAUCUGAUUGGAUAUGACUUAGUCCGAUUUAGUCUCAUUUGGAUUGAAUGGCCCAAGUUCAACCUUUU